UUUGUGAGUUAAAGUUUUUUGUUUUUCUUCUUUGUCUUAGAAUUGUGAGUGAUCCACAAAAAGGGUGUUGUAGUGUUGUUAUUGUUAGUGUAAGACAAGUAAUUUAUUUACUUGUUUGUUGGUCCAAUUUUCAACAGAAGAGGUCAGCGACACCAAGUGGUUUUUCCUUAUGUUGAUGAUGCAAACGUUCGCUCCAGGCUGUGGGAUGCUCAGACAAACCCUCCUCAUCGGAUCUCCGGUGUGGUUGACGGUGGCAAGGGGCAUGGAGUCGGUGGCGCUCUGCGAGCAGGCAAGGCAGGCGCGUAUGUUCGGGCUCCGCACCAUGACAUGCGUUCCCCUGGCCUACGGCGCUGUCGUCGAACUCGGCUCCACACAAGAGAUCUACCAGAACGUUGAGUUCUUGAACAAGAUCAGAGCGCCGUCGUUGAACCCCUCUUACACGUCAUGGAUCUCCUCCCAAACCCCUCUCACGCAUACCUCAUCUCACGCCCUCUCCGUCCAACUCCUCAUCUCACACCCUCUCCGUCCAACUCCUCUCCGGUGGCGAACCCCUCUAUGCGAACAUCUCCUCUGAACUCAUCUUCCCCGAAUGAGACUCUGCUGAAGAUGAGUGGCAUUUCCUUUCCCAUUUUCUACGACAUUCAUCUUCCUCAGCCAGAGAAUUUGGAUUUGAAUUCUGUAAGAGGACUCAAUCAAGUAUUUUCAUAAGGUAGAAAUAUUCUUCUUUUGAGGAUCCCAUAGAAAGGGAAUUCAAAAUUUUGAAUCUAAUGAAGUUUAAUAGCAAAAGGAAAAGAAUGUCAAUUAUUGUACGGGAUGAAACUGGGCAGAUUAUUCUCUUAUGGAAAGGUGCUAACAGCAUUAUUUUGGAUAGAUUGUCAAAGAAUGGAAGAAUGUUUGAAACAGAUACAAUAAAACAUCUAAAUGAAUAUGAGGAAACAGGCCUACGGACAUUGGCACUGGCCUUCUGGUUUCUUGAGGAAUCUGAAUAUUCUGCAUGGAACAUUGAGUUUCUCAGAGCAAAAACUUCUAUGGAUAAUGAUAGGCUAGCUGAACUGGAGAGGGUUUCAGACAUUAUUUAGGAUUUGAUUCUUGUUGGUGCAACUGCUAUAGAAGAAAAAUUACAGAAAGGAGUUCCUCAAUGCAUAGACAAAUUAGCACAAACUGGUCUCAAGAUGUGGGUUCUUACAGGUGAUAAGAUGGAGAUCGCAAUCAACAUAGGAUACAUAGUAAUAGGUGUUUUGUCCCAGUCUCAAGCUGACAAUCCUUUUUUAGUGUAGCUAGUAGAAGUAAGCAGAUCGUUGCCUUCGAGACCGGCUAAUUAUUUUAUGCUCUUUUAUUUUAAAUUUGAAUGUCACUAUCUGCUUUGAAACAGAAGUAUUUAGUCUUUGAAAUCAUUAGCUAAAUUCUACUUUGUAGCUGAAUUCUACUUUAUAGUUGUAUUCUUCUGUAAAUACUAAUAUCUACUUUGUAGCUGAAUUAUAUUGUUUAAGUUGAAUUCUAUUGUUUUGGUA
Molecule: long non-coding RNA, 1511 nt
Organism: Zingiber officinale
Lineage: Eukaryota; Viridiplantae; Streptophyta; Magnoliopsida; Zingiberales; Zingiberaceae
Exons: 6
Source: RefSeq, a predicted model, not a curated record